Molecule: ribosomal RNA, 253 nt
Filed under: uncultured bacterium
Lineage: Bacteria
Description: partial 16S ribosomal RNA
Rfam family: Bacterial small subunit ribosomal RNA
Source: RNAcentral
UACGUAGGGUGCGAGCGUUGUCCGGAAUUAUUGGGCGUAAAGGGCUCGUAGGCGGUUUGUCGCGUCGGGAGUGAAAAUCCAGGGCUUAACUCUGGACUGGCUUCCGAUACGGGCAGACUAGAGGUAUGCAGGGGAGAACGGAAUUCCUGGUGUAGCGGUGAAAUGCGCAGAUAUCAGGAGGAACACCGGUGGCGAAGGCGGUUCUCUGGGCCGAUACUGACGCUGAGGAGCGAAAGCGUGGGGAGCGAACAGG